UCACACUUCCUUCCAGUAUUUAGUAUGUUUGACAAUCUUGCUGUAGAUGAACUUCUCAAAGUGAAUUUCUUUUAGCCUAUAGCAAGAUCUACACUGACACUAUAAGCCAAAAAGCUAUGAGAUAUUUGAGGAUAAUCUGUGCAAUGAACAAGCCUUGCUUGAUAGCAGCCAGCUCAGCAUUAGUACUGGUAGUAAUGAUGCAAACACGUGCCCUCAAGAGUAAGUUUAACAAAGCCAUGUGGAGGUAGCUGGGGACAUGGAACAACCCAGAUUGUGAUGUGAGUCUAAAAACCGGUAAUUAAUAGUCAUCAUCCAUGCCUAAAAUGGAGUGAACAGCAAGAGGUAAAAAAAUACCACUUUCUGCUAC
RNAcentral lists this long non-coding RNA (367 nucleotides) under Glycine max (soybean). Its description in RNAcentral is "long non-coding RNA (GMAX_LNC001225)". Lineage: Eukaryota; Viridiplantae; Streptophyta; Magnoliopsida; Fabales; Fabaceae. The record is from RNAcentral.